This 1080-nucleotide long non-coding RNA is filed under the name Anas platyrhynchos platyrhynchos (common mallard). RNAcentral describes it as "lncRNA (ENSAPLG00000027265.1)". Lineage: Eukaryota; Metazoa; Chordata; Aves; Anseriformes; Anatidae. The record is from RNAcentral.
AUGGGCAUCCCACCUAGCAAGCCACCGGGCACUGCCAACCCCUCCUGGCAGCUCAAACCUCCGCUCUGCCCCAUCCCCAUCCCAAACCCCAUCCCCAUCCCCAUGCCCCCGGCUUGCACCAGCCUGGGACAGGGGGGCUACGAGCCCCUGUUCUCCCCCCUCAGUGCCAGGACAGGCUCCACACGUGUUGUCCCCGCACGUGGAGGACCACAAGUGCUGGUAGCCCUGCGGGAUGUGGGUGAGCAAGGCCCGUGGCGAGGCGCGUGCCGCCGGAGGCUCACCCCGCCAAGGCUCCCCCUGCUCCCCGCCGUGCCGGGGGAAGAUGCUUUCCGUGUGAGCGCAUCCUCUCGCCCGGAAACUUUCCGCUGGCCCAGCCACCCGGCCGCUCGCUGCCAAGAGCUGCGGCCGAGACGGUUCCCAGCUGGCAGCAGGGGCAGGCAGCCACCGCCGCGGGGUCACGACCAGCUCCUCCACCACCCAGCUGGGGGACAGCCAGGGGACACGGGGCGGCUGCCACGAGGUGACCCAAAACACACAACCCGCUGGCACGGGUGGUGGAAAGGCAGCAGGAGCACUCCCAACCUGCUGCUGCGGGCACGAGAGCCACCCCCAGACAAGGACCCUGAGAGUUUUGGGGGCUGCGGGGCAGGCUCCUUCGGCAGCAGGGGUGGUUUUAGGGUUUUGAUGCACCAGAGCCCUGGGAGAAAGGCAGAUCCAUGGGGCAGGGCAGGAAGCCCCCCGCCGCCAGGCCCAGGUGCGCAGCCCACAUCACAGCCCCGCGCGGGGCCGGGAACGGGGCCGGGGUGGGAACGGGGCCGCCCUUCCCGCAGCCCAACAAGGGCCCCGCUGUUCGGGGCCAUGCAUGUAAACAGGGGCCCUGCCAGCACAUUCCAGCCCUUCCCUGCCCCUCCUGCCGCUCACCCACCGCCCCGCAGGGGGGAAAGCCCCUGCAGAGGCUGGGGGACGCGGCACACACGUGGCACACGCCAAGGGAGAUGCAGGGAGGAGAAGCUGGGCACCCUGCGCUGCUGUGUGCCCUCCUCACAGGCCAGGCGAGGCAAAAUAAAUGGUAUUUAUUAG